UUACAUAUUGUAUGUGAUUCGAAUAAUCGAAAAUGUUCUGGAACAAAAUGACAAAAGAAGAUCGAAAUUCGGGCUAUAUAAGGAAGUCAGAUCCGACCCGGGGAGUCUUACGUUGGAAUAUGAACUGUGAAGGAGACAAUGUAGUGAAUUCCUCUUACUAAAAGUCGCGAAUAAUUUAAAGAAGAAUUAACAAAAUGUUUUAACUCUAUCUCAAUGCUCGUAACAUUGUUACAUGUUAAAAUAGAAUCGGUACCAUUUAUGAAGAUGUAACGACAGAUGUAUUAGGUCUUAUGGGAACUUGGCAGUGGCUUGUGACGGUGUUACUAACCGUGCUCAUGAUGCCCGCAAUGUUAAACCAAUACGAAGAUAUGUUUCUAUUGAAACCGACUAAUGACAUAAAAUGUGAAUUGCCAGAGAUCCAUGAUAUUGCCAACUCAAGUUUAUGUUCUUUCUCAAUCUUAAAUAACAUCACAGAAGAAGUUAAGUGUCACAAAUGGCGUAUAAAACUUUUAGGAUUAAUUUGGCUUAAGAAAUCGUGGCUUAUAUUCUGCGAUGACAAGUUUAAAUUAUUAUCAACGACAAUAAUUUGCCGAUUGGGUUUUGUUUUCGGAUGCGUUAUUUUCGGCUUGAUUUCUGAUAGCUUUGGACGAAAAAGAGUAAUAGCCGUAAACAUUAUCGCUGAAUCAUUUUUUGGGUUAAUCUUAACGUUUUGUGACUCCGAGGCAUGGUUUCAUCUUCUAAUAUUCUUAAGAUCUCUAUUCGCAAGUGGUUAUUUCUACACGGGAAUUGUUUUGAUUUGUGAAAUAGCAAGCAACAGUUGGCGAACAUAUCUGAUCAUGAUAGUUACUCUGCCGAGGGUGUUCGCGAUCGCAUACAUUGUGCCCUUGGCCAACAGUUUGCCAAACUUGGAAACAUUCAACUUUAUGGCGUGUGUAUUCUGUCUUGUAUGCAUCGCUCCUCUGAGAUGGCUACCUGAAUCACCACAAUGGCUUUUGUACAGUCGGAAAAUAUUCUUAGCUGAAAAAAUUCUAUUCAAAGCAGCUUUGAAGAAUAAAAUAAAAUUAUGCAGCGAUUUUAAAAUAAGACCAGUAAAUCACAAAGCCUACAACUGUCUAGAUGAAAGCAGGACAUGUAUAAGCAUUCUCUAUACAUACAAUACAAGGAUAAUUGUUGUAUUUUCAUUAAUAUUUUGGACCGUGUACAAUUUUUUGUGGAGCUUUUUGUACGUGAAGACGAAUAGUGAUGGCCGAAUGCUAUACAUUGAAGUGUUAGUGUUCUUUGGGAUUCUAGAAUGCCUAACCAUAAUCCUUUUGAAGAAGUUUAAAUUAAAACAUAUCUUGUUGAUAAACGUCACAAUUAUGGGCACUUUGACGACAGGCAUUCUUAUUUAUAACCGGUUUCAAAUAAAGGAUACAAAUAUUGAUUUUAUACAUACCGCUGCACUGAGCACAGGCAUGAUGGGACAUGCUAUACUUCUUAACAUAACGCCACGUCUUUUUGCCAUCAACGUUAGAGCGACAAUCUUCGGUUUCUGUCAUUCUUCGGGGCAACUCGGCACUAUCAUGUGUUACUUACUCUACCUACUUGAUCUCGAUGACCAUAAAUCACUGAUAUUCGUUCAUAUCGGAGCAACUUUUAUAUUAACAGCGUUAUCCUAUGUGAUACCUGAUGUUGACGGAAGAGAACUCCCCGAUAUUGUUGAAGAUAUGGACUACUUUUCUGAAUUAUCAAAACCUCUGCGUUGGGUAACACAAAAGACGAACUCACCAUCACAAGAGGAGGUGGAAAUGAGAAUAUAUUCAUUCGGGAGUGCAGUCAGAAAUCCAUCCGUCAACAGUCAUUCUGCAGAAAGUGUUCCAGCUCGGGACAUCGGUUUUAAAAAUUUAUGGCAAUCUUUUAUUUCGUCCGUGCGACAUAGAUUGCGGUGAAAAUACUGACAGGCGCUCAUAUUCCACAGUUUCUAAGCGGAGGCCUUCAACCUGCUCGUCUGAAAUGCCACGAGCGACAAGUACGUGACAGCGCUUAACAUUCUGUUCUCAACGCAAAUCGAUCCGUGCGAGCGGCAGACCUCGCUGCUUUAUCAAAGACGAUACCAACUAUGUGUACCCUGCUGUUAAUAUACCUUUCUGUCGCACACGGAGCGCAGACAAAAAAUGAAAGAACAAAAACUUCAUUUCGUCUCAAUUUUACAUGUUAGUUUUACCUGUGGCCUGACCCGGUCUUUUAAACAUGAAUUAUGAAUUUACUUACUUAAAUUAAACAAAACGAAAUGUUGGAAAAUAAAUAACUAGUUAUAAUUAAACGAUUUUUUUAAUUAUAGUUACGAUAGGCCUAGAUUUAGUCUAGAUUUAAUUCCAAUCCUACAUAAAGUGUUCAAAUAUCUCUUCAUCAGACUCGAUGACUCUUAGUCAUAAUUUGACUAAUUCCCAAUUUUGUAAACUUAAAUUACUUUAGUAAUCCCUUUUAUUGAACCUAUU
This is an RNA transcript of Papilio polytes (common Mormon), 2477 nucleotides long. It is a transcript of the gene named solute carrier family 22 member 4-like, with no coding region annotated. NCBI's taxonomy places the organism in Eukaryota, Metazoa, Arthropoda, Insecta, Lepidoptera, Papilionidae. The record is from RefSeq and is a predicted model, not a curated record. The transcript has 11 exons.